UUUAUAUGUAACUCUUUUAAAAUAUGGUUAUUGUUAUAAAUUGUUCGCAUUGCCGUGGCCAGAUUUAUUUAUUUAUUUAUUUGGCUGUGAAAACGACUUUAAAUGCCAGAAUUUGAUUCUGAGUGAAAUGCUUUGAAUAUACAACGCAGCCUUUGUGCGCAUACAGCGUCACCUAGGCACACAGCAAACUGAUCUUCCCGUAUGAGGGUAGCGGCCAGUGGUUAGGCAGCUUGAGACCAAGAUACAACAUGUUCACCUCAGCCAUUAUCCUGGUCAAGUCAGGUCCUGGGUAAUUGCUGAAUGUUGCGUCAGGAUAUUGGGUGGGGUGAGACAAUGGGUGAAAGAUUAAGAAGCUUGGAUGUGCGCUUGUGAAAACCCGUGACAAACGAAGAUGGAUUUGGCCCUGCUCCAUUCUUGGUCCCAUCAGGACUACACACUGCCCUCAGCUGGGUCAUCUUGAUUCUGUGUUGGCCCAUGAUUGAUUAAACACUGUGUCAUCAUGUAGUUGAUGAGUGUUGUAAAUAAAUGUUUUACACAA
Molecule: long non-coding RNA, 538 nt
Organism: Paramormyrops kingsleyae
Lineage: Eukaryota; Metazoa; Chordata; Actinopteri; Osteoglossiformes; Mormyridae
Source: RefSeq, a predicted model, not a curated record